UACAGAGGGUGCAAGCGUUAAUCGGAAUUACUGGGCGUAAAGCGUGCGUAGACGGUUACAUAAGUCGGGUGUGAAAGCCCCGGGCUCAACCUGGGAAUUGCAUUCGAGACUGAAUAGCUAGGGUACGGUAGAGGGAAGUGGAAUUUCCGGUGUAGCGGUGAAAUGCGUAGAUAUCGGAAGGAACAUCAGUGGCGAAGGCGAGUCUCUGGACAUUUCCUGACGCUGAGGCACGAAAGCCAGGGGAGCAAACGGG
Molecule: ribosomal RNA, 253 nt
Filed under: uncultured bacterium
Lineage: Bacteria
Description: partial 16S ribosomal RNA
Rfam family: Bacterial small subunit ribosomal RNA
Source: RNAcentral